AACUGGACUAGGCCGGGCGGUUUGGCCCUGCCCUCCACCCGCGAGAUAGUCAUCAGCGGGGGCCGAAAUCCUGGGGAGUCCGGUCGACCUGUCCGGGCCCCGGGAGCCAACGUGGAAGCCUCGUCCUUCGGGGACGGCGGUCCGCGGCGCGCACCUGCAGGGGUGUCGUCGGCGCGGUUCGUCGGUGCCACUCCGUCAGGCACGGAAGUGAGCAGCGGAGCACCGAACGUUCGUCGCUCGAAGGGUCGCGGGGUGGAGAAGGCGACCGGGACUACCCGGGCGGGAACACCGGGCAACCCGGGGCCGUCCAUCA
RNAcentral lists this signal recognition particle RNA (313 nucleotides) under Halobacterium bonnevillei. RNAcentral's name for it is "Archaeal signal recognition particle RNA". It matches the Rfam family "Archaeal signal recognition particle RNA". Lineage: Archaea; Methanobacteriati; Methanobacteriota; Halobacteria; Halobacteriales; Halobacteriaceae. The record is from Rfam by way of RNAcentral.